UCCGUAGGCGGGCAAUUAAGUCAGAGGUGAAAUCCCACAGCUCAACUGUGGAACUGCCUUUGAUACUGGUUGUCUUGAGUUAUAGUGAAGUAGAUAGAAUAUGUAGUGUAGCGGUGAAAUGCAUAGAUAUUACAUAGAAUACCGAUUGCGAAGGCAGUCUACUAACUGUAUACUGACGCUAAUGGACGAAAGCGUGGGGAGCGAACAGGAUUAGAUACCUGGUAGUCC
This 228-nucleotide ribosomal RNA is filed under the name uncultured bacterium. Its description in RNAcentral is "partial 16S ribosomal RNA". It matches the Rfam family "Bacterial small subunit ribosomal RNA", at positions 568 to 796 of the family's 1533-position model. The record is from RNAcentral.